UGGGGAAUAUUGGACAAUGGGCGCAAGCCUGAUCCAGCAAUGCCGCGUGAGUGAUGAAGGCCUUAGGGUUGUAAAGCUCUUUCGCACGCGACGAUGAUGACGGUAGCGUGAGAAGAAGCCCCGGCUAACUUCGUGCCAGCAGCCGCGGUAAUACGAAGGGGGCUAGCGUUGUUCGGAAUUACUGGGCGUAAAGGGCGCGUAGGCGGCCUGUUUAGUCAGAAGUGAAAGCCCCGGGCUCAACCUGGGAAUAGCUUUUGAUACUGGCAGGCUUGAGUUCCGGAGAGGAUGGUGGAAUUCCCAGUGUAGAGGUGAAAUUCGUAGAUAUUGGGAAGAACACCGGUGGCGAAGGCGGCCAUCUGGACGGACACUGACGCUGAGGCGCGAAAGCGUGGGGGAGCAAACAGGAUUAGAUACCCUGGUAGUCCACGCCGUAAACGAUGAAUGCUAGACGUCGGGGUGCAUGCACUUCGGUGUCGCCGCUAACGCAUUAAGCAUUCCGCCUGGGGAGUACGGCCGCAAGGUUAAAACUUAAAGGAAUUGACGGGGUCAUAGCUGUUUCCU
RNAcentral lists this ribosomal RNA (561 nucleotides) under uncultured bacterium. RNAcentral describes it as "partial 16S ribosomal RNA". It matches the Rfam family "Bacterial small subunit ribosomal RNA", at positions 355 to 1375 of the family's 1533-position model. The record is from RNAcentral.